RNAcentral lists this ribosomal RNA (484 nucleotides) under uncultured bacterium. RNAcentral describes it as "partial 16S ribosomal RNA". It matches the Rfam family "Bacterial small subunit ribosomal RNA", at positions 30 to 507 of the family's 1533-position model. The record is from RNAcentral.
AUUGAACGCUGGCGGCAGGCCUAACACAUGCAAGUCGAGCGGAUGAAGGGAGCUUGCUCCUGGAUUCAGCGGCGGACGGGUGAGUAAUGCCUAGGAAUCUGCCUGGUAGUGGGGGAUAACGUCCGGAAACGGGCGCUUAUACCGCAUACGUCCUGAGGGAGAAAGUGGGGGAUCUUCGGACCUCACGCUAUCAGAUGAGCCUAGGUCGGAUUAGCUAGUUGGUGGGGUAAAGGCCUACCAAGGCGACGAUCCGUAACUGGUCUGAGAGGAUGAUCAGUCACACUGGAACUGAGACACGGUCCAGACUCCUACGGGAGGCAGCAGUGGGGAAUAUUGGACAAUGGGCGAAAGCCUGAUCCAGCCAUGCCGCGUGUGUGAAGAAGGUCUUCGGAUUGUAAAGCACUUUAAGUUGGGAGGAAGGGCAGUAAGUUAAUACCUUGCUGUUUUGACGUUACCAACAGAAUAAGCACCGGCUAACUUCGUG